Molecule: ribosomal RNA, 534 nt
Filed under: uncultured bacterium
Lineage: Bacteria
Description: bacterial SSU rRNA
Rfam family: Bacterial small subunit ribosomal RNA
Source: RNAcentral
AAUAGAUACCCUGGUAGUCCACGCCGUAAACGAUGUCGACUUGGAGGUUGUUCCCUUGAGGAGUGGCUUCCGGAGCUAACGCGUUAAGUCGACCGCCUGGGGAGUACGGCCGCAAGGUUAAAACUCAAAUGAAUUGACGGGGGCCCGCACAAGCGGUGGAGCAUGUGGUUUAAUUCGAUGCAACGCGAAGAACCUUACCUACUCUUGACAUCCAGGGAACUUAGCAGAGAUGCUUUGGUGCCUUCGGGAACUCUGAGACAGGUGCUGCAUGGCUGUCGUCAGCUCGUGUUGUGAAAUGUUGGGUUAAGUCCCGCAACGAGCGCAACCCUUAUCCUUUGUUGCCAGCGGUUAGGCCGGGAACUCAAAGGAGACUGCCAGUGAUAAACUGGAGGAAGGUGGGGAUGACGUCAAGUCAUCAUGGCCCUUACGAGUAGGGCUACACACGUGCUACAAUGGCGCAUACAAAGAGAAGCGACCUCGCGAGAGCAAGCGGACCUCAUAAAGUGCGUCGUAGUCCGGAUUGGAGUCUGCAAC